Molecule: unclassified non-coding RNA, 222 nt
Filed under: uncultured Rhizophydium
Lineage: Eukaryota; Fungi; Chytridiomycota; Chytridiomycetes; Rhizophydiales; Rhizophydiaceae
Description: sequence contains ITS2
Source: RNAcentral
GUAUUCAUUUUCCGGGUUCGCUUCUAAGGUAACUUUGAGGCGGCACGGAGAGAUUUGAGGCGUCGCACUUACACUGCGUGCUUUUAAAACUAUUGCUGCUGGAUACUGUCAAGUAACGGAAAAGUAUGUGUAUGGAACCUCGGUUUCUCUAAUACCAAGUACGGGUGAUGGUGCUCGUCCGGCACUCAACUAUUAAAGUUGGUCUCUAGGGAUUAACUUGAA